CGUAUAGGGGAGCCGAAGGGAAACCGAGUCUUAAUUGGGCGUUAAGUUGCAGGGUAUAGACCCGAAACCCGGUGAUCUAGCCAUGGGCAGGUUGAAGGUUGGGUAACACUAACUGGAGGACCGAACCGACUAAUGUUGAAAAAUUAGCGGAUGACCUGUGGCUGGGGGUGAAAGGCCAAUCAAACCGGGAGAUAGCUGGUUCUCCCCGAAAGCUAUUUAGGUAGCGCCUCGUGAAUUCAUCUCCGGGGGUAGAGCACUGUUUCGGCUAGGGGGCCAUCCCGGCUUACCAACCCGAUGCAAACUGCGAAUACCGGAGAAUGUUAUCACGGGAGACACACGGCGGGUGCUAACGUCCGUCGUGAAGAGGGAAACAACCCAGACCGCCAGCUAAGGUCCCAAAGUCAUGGUUAAGUGGGAAACGAUGUGGGAAGGCCCAGACAGCCAGGAUGUUGGCUUAGAAGCAGCCAUCAUUUAAAGAAAGCGUAAUAGCUCACUGGUCGAGUCGGCCUGCGCGGAAGAUGUAACGGGGCUAAACCAUGCACCGAAGCUGCGGCAGCGAACGUAUCACUUAAAGCGAUUCAGCGGGUUACGAUUGACGGAGCGAAGCGACGUCAAAGCGUAUACAAAGUCGAGUCGGUUUAAGGAUACGUUCGUUGGGUAGGGGAGCGUUCUGUAAGCCUGUGAAGGUGUGUCGUGAGGCAUGCUGGAGGUAUCAGAAGUGCGAAUGCUGACAUAAGUAACGAUAAAGCGGGUGAAAAGCCCGCUCGCCGGAAGACCAAGGGUUCCUGUCCAACGUUAAUCGGGGCAGGGUGAGUCGACCCCUAAGGCGAGGCCGAAAGGCGUAGUCGAUGGGAAACGGGUUAAUAUUCCCGUACUUGGUGUUACUGCGAAGGGGGGACGGAGAAGGCUAUGUUGGCCGGGCGACGGUUGUCCCGGUUUAAGCGUGUAGGUGUGUGUUCCAGGUAAAUCCGGUUCACUUUAACACUGAGGCGUGACGACGAGGCACUACGGUGCUGAAGCAACAAAUGCCCUGCUUCCAGGAAAAGCCUCUAAGCAUCAGGUAACAUCAAAUCGUACCCCAAACCGACACAGGUGGUCAGGUAGAGAAUACCAAGGCGCUUGAGAGAACUCGGGUGAAGGAACUAGGCAAAAUGGUGCCGUAACUUCGGGAGAAGGCACGCUGACACGUAGGUGAAGUGAUUUACUCAUGGAGCUGAAGUCAGUCGAAGAUACCAGCUGGCUGCAACUGUUUAUUAAAAACACAGCACUGUGCAAACACGAAAGUGGACGUAUACGGUGUGACGCCUGCCCGGUGCCGGAAGGUUAAUUGAUGGGGUCAGCGCAAGCGAAGCUCCUGAUCGAAGCCCCGGUAAACGGCGGCCGUAACUAUAACGGUCCUAAGGUAGCGAAAUUCCUUGUCGGGUAAGUUCCGACCUGCACGAAUGGCGUAAUGAUGGCCAGGCUGUCUCCACCCGAGACUCAGUGAAAUUGAACUCGCUGUGAAGAUGCAGUGUACCCGCGGCAAGACGGAAAGACCCCGUGAACCUUUACUAUAGCUUGACACUGAACAUUGAGCCUUGAUGUGUAG
Molecule: ribosomal RNA, 1588 nt
Filed under: Salmonella enterica subsp. enterica serovar Newport
Lineage: Bacteria; Pseudomonadati; Pseudomonadota; Gammaproteobacteria; Enterobacterales; Enterobacteriaceae
Description: partial 23S ribosomal RNA
Rfam family: Bacterial large subunit ribosomal RNA
Source: RNAcentral